CCUACGGGUGGCUGCAGUAGGGAAUAUUGGGCAAUGGGCGAAAGCCUGACCCAGCCAUGCCGCGUGCAGGAAGACGGCCCUCUGGGUUGUAAACUGCUUUUGCAGGAGAAGAAAAGGGCCUUGCGAGGCACACUGACGGUACCCUGCGAAUAAGCCACGGCUAACUACGUGCCAGCAGCCGCGGUAAUACGUAGGUGGCAAGCGUUGUCCGGAUUUAUUGGGUUUAAAGGGUGCGUAGGUGGUGGAUUAAGUCUGUGGUGAAAGACGAUCGCUCA
RNAcentral lists this ribosomal RNA (275 nucleotides) under uncultured bacterium. RNAcentral describes it as "partial 16S ribosomal RNA". It matches the Rfam family "Bacterial small subunit ribosomal RNA", at positions 338 to 611 of the family's 1533-position model. The record is from RNAcentral.